UAUCAUGUGGUGGUGAGGACAGAACCGGGGGCUUGGAAGGGACCCCCAGGCCUCCUGUGUGACUUUGGACAAGUGGCUUCCUCUCUCCCAUCAUCGGAGUCCAGAGGGUCUCAGUGGACACAGAGCUUCUCCAAGACCCUGCACCUCCACUCAUUCCUCUAACCCUCUACACAGGCUGCAAAACUGAGACAUUUUUACAAGUAUACUUCGUGUCAUGUGAUGAAAAGUAUGUUGGAAAGAGUCACCCAGGAUCUUGUAUGUGAGGCUUCUUCCUCGAAGUACAGAAAGGUGAAUUUAGUGGAGUCGCAAGAAGAAAUUAUGAAAGUUCAACUAGCCACAAAAAAUCACAUAAAAGAAAAUGUUUAAAAAGCAAAAAUUUACAAGGGUCCCCAACCCUGUGAUACAGGCCCCUGGCCUGCUAGGAACAGGGCCACACAGCAGGAGGUGAGCAGCAGCUUUUCAGUAUAUAUAUUGUGAUUCAACAUUAUUCAUGACAGCAACAAUAAUCAAAGUAAUAAUACCUGACAUAUGUGAGACUCUAUUGAUCCAGUAGCUAAAUUACUAAAGUAAUAAUUACUCAUCAAGAUAAAGUACAUAAGAGAUGAAUCAACAUUGUUCAUAGAGGGCUGAUGGGAUACUCAGAUACUUGGUCAAACCUUCUUCCUGAUAUAUUUGUGAUGGUGUGUCUGGAUGACAUUAUCAUCCAAAAGAGUAGACUGAUUAAAGCCGAUUGUCCUCCCUCAUGUGUGUGGGCCUCAACAAAUUAUUCAAAGGCCUGAAUAGAACAAAGAGGCCAACUGUCCCAGGAGCGAGAAUGCACUUUUCCAGCACGACUUGGGCUGGAGGCAUCAGACACUUAUUUUGAGCUGAGGCAUCAGACUUUUCUUUCCUUCAGACUCAAAGUGAAACAUUGGAUCUACUUGGUCUCAAGGCUGCAGGCUUCUAUUCUGGACCUUAUACCACUGACCUUCCUGAUUCUCAGGCCUUUGGACCCAGACUGAAGCUGCGUCAGCGUUCUCCUGAGCCUCCAUAAUGCUGACUG
Heterocephalus glaber (naked mole-rat) is the source of this 1042-nucleotide non-coding RNA. The record is from RefSeq and is a predicted model, not a curated record. NCBI's taxonomy places the organism in Eukaryota, Metazoa, Chordata, Mammalia, Rodentia, Bathyergidae.